RNAcentral lists this ribosomal RNA (338 nucleotides) under Chlorurus oedema (knothead parrotfish). RNAcentral describes it as "partial 12S ribosomal RNA". It matches the Rfam family "Bacterial small subunit ribosomal RNA", at positions 801 to 1347 of the family's 1533-position model. The record is from RNAcentral. Lineage: Eukaryota; Metazoa; Chordata; Actinopteri; Labriformes; Labridae.
ACCUGACAGCUCCUUACAUUCGCUGUUCGCCCGGGAACUACGAGCGUAAGCUUAAAACCCAAAGGACUUGACGGUGCUUUAUAUCCCCCUAGAGGAGCCUGUCCUAGAACCGAUAAUCCCCGUUAAACCUCACCUUUUCUUGCUUAUUCCGCCUAUAUACCGCCGUCUCCAGUCUACCCUGUAAAGGACCCAUAGUAGGCGAAAUUGGUACAGCCCCAGACGACAGGUCGAGGUGUAGCGUAUGAAAAGGGAAGAGAUGGGCUACAUUCAGUGACAGCACUGAAUACGGAGAGUUGAUUGAAAUAUUGACUUGAAGGUGGAUUUAGCAGUAAGCGGGG